GGAUUCGUAGAGCCCACGCCUAUUCAGUCACAAGGUUGGCCAAUGGCUUUGAAGGGCAGGGACAUGAUCGGUAUCGCACAAACUGGCUCUGGGAAAACACUAUCUUACCUUCUCCCUGGGUUGGUUCAUGUUGGUGCACAGCCUCGACUAGAACAAGGUGAUGGCCCAAUUGUUCUGAUCCUUGCUCCUACAAGAGAACUGGCUGUUCAAAUACAACAAGAAUCUGGCAAAUUUGGAUCAUAC
Molecule: unclassified non-coding RNA, 243 nt
Filed under: Hevea brasiliensis (rubber tree)
Lineage: Eukaryota; Viridiplantae; Streptophyta; Magnoliopsida; Malpighiales; Euphorbiaceae
Source: RNAcentral